CUACGGGCCGCAGCAGUGGGGAAUAUUGGACAAUGGGGGAAACCCUGAUCCAGCAAUGCCGCGUGUGUGAAGAAGGCCUGCGGGUUGUAAAGCACUUUCGGUUGGGAGGACUGCUUCUAGCACUAAUAUUGUUGGAAGUUGACGUUACCUUCAGAAGAAGCACUGGCUAACUCCGUGCCGGCAGCCGCGGUAAUACUGAGGGUGCAAGCGUUAAUCGGAAUUACUGGGCGUAAAGCGCGCGUAGGCGGCUAGAUCAGUCGGGUGUGAAAGCCCCGGGCUUAACCUGGGAACUGCAUCCGAUACUGUCUAGCUUGAGUACAGGAGAGGAGAGUGGAAUUCCACAUGUAGCGGUGAUAUGCGUAGAUAUGUGGAGGAACACCAAUGGCGAAGGCAGCUCUCUGGCCUGAUACUGACGCUGAGGUGCGAAAGCGUGGGGAGCAAACAGGAUUAGAUACCCGCGUAGUC
RNAcentral lists this ribosomal RNA (465 nucleotides) under uncultured bacterium. RNAcentral describes it as "partial 16S ribosomal RNA". It matches the Rfam family "Bacterial small subunit ribosomal RNA", at positions 339 to 795 of the family's 1533-position model. The record is from RNAcentral.